AGGUCGGUCGUUCAACGGUAGGACUGCGGUCUCCAAAACCGCCAAUGUGGGUUCGAUUCCCGCCCGACCUG
RNAcentral lists this transfer RNA (71 nucleotides) under Pseudomonadales bacterium. Its description in RNAcentral is "tRNA-Trp". It matches the Rfam family "tRNA". From Rfam's summary of the family: Transfer RNA (tRNA) molecules are approximately 80 nucleotides in length. Their secondary structure includes four short double-helical elements and three loops (D, anti-codon, and T loops). Further hydrogen bonds mediate the characteristic L-shaped molecular structure. tRNAs have two regions of fundamental functional importance: the anti-codon, which is responsible for specific mRNA codon recognition, and the 3' end, to which the tRNAs corresponding amino acid is attached (by aminoacyl-tRNA synthetases). tRNAs cope with the degeneracy of the genetic code in two manners: having more than one tRNA (with a specific anti-codon) for a particular amino acid; and 'wobble' base-pairing, i.e. permitting non-standard base-pairing at the 3rd anti-codon position. The record is from RNAcentral. Lineage: Bacteria; Pseudomonadati; Pseudomonadota; Gammaproteobacteria; Pseudomonadales.